This 774-nucleotide ribosomal RNA is filed under the name uncultured Neocallimastigales. RNAcentral describes it as "partial large subunit ribosomal RNA". It matches the Rfam family "Eukaryotic large subunit ribosomal RNA", at positions 18 to 616 of the family's 3401-position model. Lineage: Eukaryota; Fungi; Neocallimastigomycota; Neocallimastigomycetes; Neocallimastigales. The record is from RNAcentral.
UCAGACGAUGCGUCGUGCAUAUCAAUAAGCGGAGGAAAAGAAACUAACAAGGAUUCCCCUAGUAACGGCGAGUGAAGCGGGAAGAGCUCAAAUUUGAAAUCUUAAAGGGUUUCCCUUUACGAAUUGUAGUUUAAAGAAGUGUUUUCUGUUGAGGUUUUGGUAAAAGUUCUUUGGAAUAGGACAUCAUAGAGGGUGAGAAUCCCGUAUUUGACCUUUACUUUCAACUCUGUGAUACACUUUCAAAGAGUCGGAUUGUUUGGGAAUGCAGUCCAAAAUGGGUGGUAAAUUUCAUCUAAAGCUAAAUAUUGGCGAGAGACCGAUAGCGAACAAGUACCGUGAGGGAAAGAUGAAAAGAACUUUGAAAAGAGAGUUAAACAGUACGUGAAAUUGUCAAAAGGGAAGCGUUUGACACCAGUGUUGUUUUUCUGAAAAUCAAUUAAAGAACUGUUUAUGCUAAGUUGUUUAGACUUUAUCAGCUAACUGUUUAGUUUUGAGCUUUUCUUUAAUGCACUUUUCAGUUAACAAGUCAACAUCAAUUUCUUUUGCUGUAAAAAAGCUUGAGGAAGGUGGCUUGAGAUUCGUCUUAAGUGUUUAUAGCCUCUUGCCUAUGCAGUCGGAGAGAUUGAGGUCUGCAGCGUAGAUCCUUCGGGGCUAAAUGCAUUUGUGCUAAGUUAUAGCAUUUUAUAGACAACUUGUUGACUAUGAUUUGUCUUGUAGCUUACUCGCUUAUGUUAUUUUACCUACGCUUAGGAUGUUGAGCGCAUGUCUCUCUCU